Molecule: ribosomal RNA, 635 nt
Filed under: Lissopterus sp. LIM1
Lineage: Eukaryota; Metazoa; Arthropoda; Insecta; Coleoptera; Carabidae
Description: partial 16S ribosomal RNA
Rfam family: Bacterial large subunit ribosomal RNA
Source: RNAcentral
GUCCUUUUGAUUAUAAUUUAAGGUCUGACCUGCCCACUGAAAUUAUUUUAAAUGGCCGCAGUAAUUUGACUGUGCAAAGGUAGCAUAAUCAUUAGUUUUUUAAUUAAAAGCUUGUAUGAAGGGUUGGACGAGAUAAAAUCUGUCUCUAUUUAAUUUAUUAUAAAAUUUAAUUUUUAAGUUAAAAAGCUUAAAUUUUUUUAAAAGACGAGAAGACCCUAUAGAUCUUUAUAGUUUUGAUUUUGAAUUUAAUUAAUAAAUUUUUAGGAUUUAUGAUCUAAAUUAUUUUAUUGGGGUAAUAGAAAGAUUAAAAUAAUUCUUUUUUUCUUUAAACAUUUAUUUAUGUUUUUAAUGAUCCAAUUUUAUUGAUUAUAAGAUUAAGUUACCUUAGGGAUAACAGCGUAAUUUUUUUAGAGAGUUCUUAUCGAUAAAAAAGUUUGCGACCUCGAUGUUGGAUUAAAGAUUAGUUUAGGUGUAGAAGUUUAAAUUUUUGGUCUGUUCGACCAUUAAAUCUUUACAUGAUCUGAGUUCAGACCGGCGUAAGCCAGGUCGGUUUCUAUCUUUAAUAAUUUUAAAAUAUUUUAGUACGAAAGGACCAAAUAUUUAAUAUAUUUAUAUUUAAUUUUUUGAAUAUUAUU